Molecule: long non-coding RNA, 683 nt
Organism: Arabidopsis thaliana (thale cress)
Lineage: Eukaryota; Viridiplantae; Streptophyta; Magnoliopsida; Brassicales; Brassicaceae
Product: other RNA
Exons: 2
Source: RefSeq
CAGUGAAGAAAUUGAUCCGAGCAACUAGGGAUAUGUAUAGGAAGAGUGCAAUGAAGAAGCAAGUUCUUGAACAUCCGUCGAAUUGGCCAUAUAUCGUGUUCCAAGCAAUACUUGCUGCUGAUGGGGCAGCAAUGAACAUAGAGUAAACAGGAUGAAGCUCUUUAGGAAGAGCUUCACUGGUGGGAAGUCUCUGAUAAAGUGUUACAAACACAACCAAGUAAUGUGCAAAACCUACUGCCCAUAGAAACUUAGCUACUUCAUCCCAUCCAACUUUUGAAGCUAAGAUGGCCCCGACGAAAUUCCCUACAACAGAAAGAUGAGAAGAUGGGUUUGCGACUUUGCAUAGUCGCCUCUUCCCUCCCGAAAGCCAUUGCCCGUAGAUCUUUAGCUCGAGGAAGAAAUAAGGACCCAUGAAAACACACCAAAUGGCGGGAUGGAGGUAUUUUCGGUUUGGUGAGAACAUGGGAGGUACGCUAAUGGCUAGGAACAUGCAAACCACCCAAGGAGCGAAGAAGAAGUUGACUCGAACAGGAUGAAAAUACUCUCUUUUGACAGCUUCAAAGUAGAAGAUGCAUUUGAGUAUGACUUUUCGCUAGGGCAAGCCACAAGACAGCUUGACUGCUAAGUCCCAAACAGAUACCGAAGCAUCCAAUUGGGAACCUUAGGAGAAACGGCCAUUGCUC